GAUGAACAGCAGCAUGGAAGUGUAAGCCGAAUAAACCCUUUCCUCCCCAACUUGCUUCUUGGUCAUGAUGUUUGUGCAGGAAUAGAAACCCUGACUAAGACAAAUUGGUACCAGGAGUGGGGUAUUCCUGUGACAACCUGACCAUGUUUUGGGGAGGUCUGUGGAAGGACUUUGGAACUUUGGUCUUGAAGAUCCAUUUGUUGUUAAGAGCUCUGUGGGAUGUUGUGUAGGAGCUUGGAAGAUAAUGUUGAGAACAGUGCAGAAGAUGGAGGCCUGGCUUGUGAAAUUUCAGAGGGAAAAUUAAAGACUCUUUUCAGGGCCAUUGCUGUUUUGAUUGUGAAGAUUCUGUAGUUCUGGUUAGCUGGGGCUGAAGAAUCAGCUGUGAUUAACAAGAUACCAGAACUACUGAAGCAAAAGCUUUGCAUUACUGGGACUAUUGAUGCUGGUUAGCUGGAGCUAAGAAAUUAGCGGUGAUUAAGAAGAGACCAGCAUCAUUGAGGUGACAUCUUCUGGGAAGUGUUUUCUGAGAGCACAGUGGCUGUGUUCCAGAUAUAGCCAAAGUUGUACCUUGUGCUGUGGCUGGACUUGGUAAUGUGUAAGAGUCACCCAGGUGGUACUGGUUUUGAAGGCAUGAAGGAGUUGAGCAGAACAGCUGAGGCUUGGCACUGUGAGAGGCCAUGGAAGGCCAUUGGUGAAAGUCCAGCCUCAUUUGCAAUUGAUGGCCCAGGACUGAAGGGGUCAUGCAGUGUUUUGGAGAUGCCAGUACCAUGAGAUGACCACCAAGAACAGCAGCAGCAGUGGAGUACAGGCAUCUGGAGCCUAGAGGAUGACGCGUGUGCUACAAAGGGCCUGGCUGGAGAAGUGACCCAAGCCCUUGGAGGAGCCCAGAAGAUUGUGAGUUGGAUCCCAGACAUUGGACAGUUGGAGAUUGACUUUUGCUUUUGAUUGUGACUGUGCCCUGAUAUUUUCCCUCUUGAAGGAAGAAACUG
This 989-nucleotide long non-coding RNA is filed under the name Mus musculus (house mouse). Its description in RNAcentral is "long non-coding RNA chr6:49994595-49995584". Lineage: Eukaryota; Metazoa; Chordata; Mammalia; Rodentia; Muridae. The record is from RNAcentral.